This 253-nucleotide ribosomal RNA is filed under the name uncultured bacterium. Its description in RNAcentral is "partial 16S ribosomal RNA". It matches the Rfam family "Bacterial small subunit ribosomal RNA", at positions 524 to 776 of the family's 1533-position model. The record is from RNAcentral.
GACGUAGGGCGCGAGCGUUGUCCGGAUUUAUUGGGCGUAAAGAGCUCGUAGGCGGCUUGUCGCGUCGUCUGUGAAAUCCCGCGGCUCAACCGCGGGUCUGCAGUCGAUACGGGCAGGCUAGAGUUCGGUAGGGGAGACUGGAAUUCCUGGUGUAGCGGUGAAAUGCGCAGAUAUCAGGAGGAACACCGGUGGCGAAGGCGGGUCUCUGGGCCGAUACUGACGCUGAGGAGCGAAAGCGCGGGGAGCGAACAGG